Molecule: long non-coding RNA, 3401 nt
Filed under: Gallus gallus (chicken)
Lineage: Eukaryota; Metazoa; Chordata; Aves; Galliformes; Phasianidae
Description: lncRNA (ENSGALG00010003157.1)
Source: RNAcentral
CAAUGAUCACCUAGUUUUAACACCCCCUGCUAUGGGCAGGGUUGCCAACCACCAGACCAGGCUGCCCAGAGCCACACCCAGCCUGGCCUUGAAUGCCUCCAGGGAUACAGCAUCCACAACCUCCUUGGGCAACCUGUUCCAGUGCGUCACCACCCUCUGAGUGAAAAACUUCCUCCUGAUAUCUAACCUAAACCUCCCCUAUCUCAGUUUAAGACCAUUCCCCCUUGUCCUAUCACUAUCCACCCUUGUAAACAGCCGUUCCCCCUCCUGUUUAUAUGCUCCUUUCAAGUACUGGGAGGCCACAAUGAGGUCUCCCCGGAGCCUUCUCUUCUCCAAGCGAAAGAAGCCCAGUUCCCUCAACCUUUCCUCAUAGGAGAGGUGCUCCAGCCCUCUGAUCAUCUUAGUGGCCCUCCUUAUUUCAGAUUUAUUGGGUAACAUAAGAGGGAUACAGAGUGAUGCAGGAGAAAAAGCAUGUUUCUGCCCUACCUAGGUGAGGAGCCAGCCGCCUGCCUGCUAACACUCUCCUUGACCUCUGCUAAAUAAGUGUUAAAGACUUGGCUUCCUGUAGUUUAUGAUGUGCUGAGUGAGGAGAUGGAGCCAAACAAGACUCCUGGGUUCCAGAGCAGAAUAAUGUACAAAAAUCUGAAAGGAAAUUCUGCCCCAACAUAUAUUUCCCUAUUUAGAUUCACUGUGGCUUUGGGCUUUUUAAACAGCAAGAUAAAUCAGUCUGAGCUUCAGCUCCUGCUGUGUCACAGCCAGAAUUUCAUUUAGAACUUCUUAGCUACAGGAGGAUGACAGAAUAAAAGCACUUUUGUCAGUACUAGGCCACGGACUUGCCAAAAAACCUUGACCUAUGCAAAGAACAUGCUCACCUAGUAUUUUAGGGAGCUCUAGCACAUUUGACUUGUGUGGCAUGAUAAUAAUUUGGGAGGAUUUACCAACACACCAAGAUGCAGAUGAGGAUGGAUAAAUGUGAGUUACUGAGGUUGUCCCUUUGUAAGUCAUGUAGGAGUAAGACGGCCUGCCAGAUCAAUGAGAGACCAUAGAAAUAAAAGUAUGCCUGCACUGCACUGAACUUUUUCAGACAAUGGAGCUACAGACUUCUGUGGCAGCUGUUCUGGAAAACAAGGCACAGAUCACUUUACCACAGGCUAAUAUAAAAACAUAGGAAGCUCUUGAAAGACUAUCAAACCAAAAAAGAAUCACAACGAAUGCUCUGUCCUAUGCCUUCAUAGUGAGGUUCCUGUGCUGAAGCAGGAUCAUCCUGAAAAUGUUCACUUUAGUUCUUUUAGGUUUGAGCUUUUUUGGAGUGGAGAGAGAGCGGGAAUCCCACCACAGCUACCAUCAUAGAGUAGCCCAUGUUGGAAGGGAUACUUAAGGAUCAUCAAGUCCAACCCUUUUCUCCACACAUGGCCACCCAAAAAUCAGACCAUCUGUCUGAGAACACUGUCCAGAUGCCUCUUGAACUCCAGCUUUGUGCAGUGACCGCUGCCCCAGAAAGCCUGUUCCAGUACCUGACUACUCUCUGGUGAAGAACCUUAGGGUUCUAAAAGAGUUUGAGAGCUGGGAGGAGAUCAGCCCUGGCUUUCAGUUUGACUUGAGUUUGUUCUGUCUUCAACACUAAUAGUAGCAAUAAGGGGGAUGAUCUUCCCGUAUUAACCUUUUUUUCCUAUGAUUCAUAAAGACACUAUUUAAAUAGAUGAUCUUCAUUUUCUUCCAAGAGCACGAUAACUCAGUGUGUGAGAAAGGCAGACAGAUUCUUUGUUCAAACAUGAAGCAGCCUGGCUGGCAUCUGACUUCUGCCAUUUUUUGGUGAUAAUUCUUUGUUUCAUGCUAUUUUAUAAAGAAAAAGAGGGACAAAAUAGACAUGUUCUGCAUAGUUUAGUGUAGCAGUAUUUCCAUUCUGGUUUCCAAGUUUGUCCCUGAAAGCACUGGCUGUUUUUAACCUGAUAUAGCAUUGGCUUCCUGUGUAUUAUCUAACUUGAUUUUUGCUCUUCCGUCUCCCACAGCUCUUCAACUGACAAGAAAGCCUGUAAAUGUUGGAACACUGCGCUUCAGCCCCAGAAUCAUUUUUAUCUUCUCAGCAGAGGCUUUAAAAUAGAACUAGUUGCCUCUGUAUCAGUUCAUUUUUUUGGAUCAUGAAUGCUCUUGUCAUUUCCAGAAGGCACUUUCUGAUUAAAAAUAGCUUGAUUAUCUGAUAAAAUUAAAUGUGCUUUGCAAGAGGAGCAUUGGCCUCACACAUCCUGGCUGCUAAUGAGCACGGUGCUUGCAAACAUCACCACUACAGGCUUCAUCCAAACGGAAGCCCAUGGUUAAUGACAGCUUUCAAAGCUUAAAGAAGCCAACAAGAUAGGACAGCGUUUUCGUGUAACUGUUUUUUACUUUUAUGAAGGUUCUUUGUCAUCGGGGGUUUCAACAUGUGAGGCAGUACGUGCUUUGCAUACAGGACCGGUCCUAAUAGGUCACAGUUAGGAAGGAGUGCGUUGAGGGUAGCAGGAUGCCUGGUGGCGUGAGAACCAGGUGGGUCAGCAUGGGGUUUGCUGCAGUGGAAUUUCCCUGAAGCAGAAUAGAGGCAGAGCCUGCAGGAGACCUGAAAUAUACUGCAGGGCGUUGGGGAGACUGGGUGGAGAACUAGAGGAGAUGCUGAAAGUGGAAAGUGAGAGAAAAGGAGUAGCAGAAAGGUGAAGAGACUGUAGCAAAGGGCUACAGUACUGGCUGAGAACUGGUAGAGAGCUUUUAAAAAAGAAAAAUGAUGAUUCCUUUUCUGACACCAGUGACCCUGUGAGCUCCUCUUACUUCCUGUAAGAAAGGAAGGAAGAUAAUGCCCUCGCUGAAAGUGAUAGAAGAUGCUACUAGGAAAUACAACAAGAAAAUGCAGGAGGUGGAAGGCAAAGCAAAGUAAGAUGCGUAUUGGUGGAGGUUCAACACGAAGGCCAAAGGAGAAAUCUGUUAUUUCUUACAGUGGAAAUCCAGAAAAAAACAGAAACCUGUUUUCCACCCCUACGUGAUCCAAAUAAGAGCUCCCUGCGACCUGAGAGCCAACCUUGCAUUUUGCAGGACUGAGUCUUUCUGCCUUGACCACAAUUCUUUCUGCUCCGUGAUGCGCUAAAGCACAAAGCAUGUAACGUCUUUCCUGAUCUAAUUAGUGAUGCCUCCAUCUGUCUCGUGGUGAAAGUAACUGGCAUCAACACCAAGCUACAUGGCUUUGUUGUCUCUCUGUCCUUCAGCCUUUCUGUACUCGUGUAACAUGUCACCUGUUGAGAGAAAUGUGGAUUAUUACCUAUUUCUGAUGUAGAACACUGCGUGGAGAGGCAUACAAUAAAAUACAAUAAAAUUAAAUCAUGAAAAGAUGUCAUCAAAGCACCGCUACAUCAUAUCAUUAAAGCUAAGUUGCAAUAAAA